RNAcentral lists this unclassified non-coding RNA (213 nucleotides) under Hevea brasiliensis (rubber tree). Lineage: Eukaryota; Viridiplantae; Streptophyta; Magnoliopsida; Malpighiales; Euphorbiaceae. The record is from RNAcentral.
AAAAAAAUGAUUGAUACAGUAUAGCUCUGUUGGUCGGUCCCAUGUUACGAAGCAUGGGUGUGGCGGUGAUGGGAAGAUUUGAUUGUAUCAAUGGAGGAUCCGAUCCGACCCAUAAACUGAAGGGUGGAGGCCAGGCUGGAUCGUAAGGGGCACAGGUGUACGGACUGAUAAAAUGUGCUCACCAAGGAACACGCUUCACAAGGUUUAAUCAUG